Molecule: ribosomal RNA, 330 nt
Filed under: Florenciella parvula
Lineage: Eukaryota; Dictyochophyceae; Florenciellales
Description: partial Bacterial large subunit ribosomal RNA
Rfam family: Bacterial large subunit ribosomal RNA
Source: RNAcentral
UUAAAGUGGUACGCGAGCUGGGUUUAGAACGUCGUGAGACAGUUCGGUCCCUAUCUGCCGUGGACGUUGGAGAUUUGAGGAAAGCUGCUCCUAGUACGAGAGGACCGGAGUGGACGAACCUCUGGUGUUCGGGUUGUGACGCCAGUCGCAUUGCCCGGUAGCUAUGUUCGGACAGGAUAACCGCUGAAAGCAUCUAAGCGGGAAGCCCCUUCCAAGAUGAGAUCUCCCUGGACCCUCGAGGUCCCUGAAGAGCCGUUCAAGACCAGGACGUUGAUAGGUCGGGUGUGUAAGCGCUGCGAGGCGUUGAGCUAACCGAUACUAAUUGCUCGU